Molecule: long non-coding RNA, 518 nt
Organism: Rhodamnia argentea
Lineage: Eukaryota; Viridiplantae; Streptophyta; Magnoliopsida; Myrtales; Myrtaceae
Exons: 3
Source: RefSeq, a predicted model, not a curated record
UGCAGCUUGCAUUGUGAAAUCACAUACUUUCUCGACCAUCAAAGAUAGUGGCCGGCAGUGAGCCUCGCAGUGUGGCCGGCUUGGUGGUUCUCGACCGAGGAGAGACGAAUCGGUAGGGCGUGUUGCGGCUAUUGGGCACACGAGAUGAUGAGUUGGUGCAGGAGUUCAUUGACAAUAUCGAUCCUGGAUUGCGAUGAAUGCCAAGAGACUUUCUCAAUUCUAAAGACUGCACCCGCCGAGACCUCUUUACACAUAAUCACACAUCGGAAUUUUUAUCGCUUGCAUUCUCCUUGUUUGUGAAUGAUCCAAAGUGUACUCGUUCAUAACUUUCUAGCCGAUUCACUCACGAGUCAUCACCUGCACGCAAAAAAAAAAAAAAAAAGAAACUUUCUUUGUUCUAUUUUAGCAACAACCCUCCAGUGAACACGACGUCCUGAGAUCUCUAACGCAGCUAUGAGCAAUUGGCUCGGUGAAGACUAGCUCACAGAGGGUCUUGGUCUCUGACGGCAAGGUUCGCG